GCCAAAACAAGGAGGGGGCAGUUGGUGGGCUAGGUGGCAGGAAAUGAAAUCAUUCUGCAUUUUUGCAACAUGACCAGUGUUCUUCUAGCAUGAGGACAUCAUCUGCACUCAAUGAUUACAGCGUGAGGACUGGAUGUCAGAUCGCACAAGUUUCCCUUCUGGUUUGAUUACACCACAUCACCCUGAUCAUGUUGCUGCUCACUUCUCCCACCUGUAAGAUGAAGAAGAAAAAUAGAGGUGAGCAAAGUGUGCUGCAACAACCAAUAGAAAUGUACUGAAGUUUUGCUUAUAUAUUCAGUACUUUCACUUUCAUGUGUGACUUACAUUGAGCUACAAUUGUAAAUGAAGUAAACAUGAGUGGAAAAGAAA
Long non-coding RNA from Panthera uncia (snow leopard), 369 nucleotides. RefSeq lists it as uncharacterized. NCBI's taxonomy places the organism in Eukaryota, Metazoa, Chordata, Mammalia, Carnivora, Felidae. The transcript has 2 exons. The record is from RefSeq and is a predicted model, not a curated record.